RNAcentral lists this ribosomal RNA (485 nucleotides) under uncultured bacterium. RNAcentral describes it as "partial 16S ribosomal RNA". It matches the Rfam family "Bacterial small subunit ribosomal RNA", at positions 28 to 523 of the family's 1533-position model. The record is from RNAcentral.
GACGAACGCUGGCGGCGUGCUUAACACAUGCAAGUCGAACGGUGAAGGUGGAGCUUGCUCCGCCGGAUCAGUGGCGAACGGGUGAGUAACACGUGGGCAACCUGCCCCUCACUUCGGGAUAACUCCGGGAAACCGGGGCUAAUACCGGAUACGACCUCCUUGGGCAUCCUUGGAGGUGGAAAGUUUUUCGGUGAGGGAUGGGCCCGCGGCCUAUCAGCUUGUUGGUGAGGUAGUGGCUCACCAAGGCGACGACGGGUAGCCGGCCUGAGAGGGCGACCGGCCACACUGGGACUGAGACACGGCCCAGACUCCUACGGGAGGCAGCAGUGGGGAAUAUUGCGCAAUGGGCGAAAGCCUGACGCAGCAACGCCGCGUGCGGGAUGAUGGCCUUCGGGUUGUAAACCGCUUUCAGCAGGGAAGAAGCCGCAGGGUGACGGUACCUGCAGAAGAAGCACCGGCUAACUACGUGCCAGCCGCCGCAGUAA